AGAUUAAACGCUGGCGGCAUGCCUUACACAUGCAAGUCGAACGGCAGCACGGGAGCAAUCCUGGUGGCGAGUGGCGAACGGGUGAGUAAUACAUCGGAACGUGCCCAUUCGUGGGGGAUAACGCAGCGAAAGCUGUGCUAAUACCGCAUAAGAUCUACGGAUGAAAGCAGGGGAUCGCAAGACCUUGCGCGAAUGGAGCGGCCGAUGGCAGAUUAGGUAGUUGGUGAGGUAAAGGCUCACCAAGCCUUCGAUCUGUAGCUGGUCUGAGAGGACGACCAGCCACACUGGGACUGGAGACACGG
Molecule: ribosomal RNA, 302 nt
Filed under: uncultured soil bacterium
Lineage: Bacteria
Description: bacterial SSU rRNA
Rfam family: Bacterial small subunit ribosomal RNA
Source: RNAcentral